Molecule: ribosomal RNA, 374 nt
Filed under: uncultured organism
Description: partial 16S ribosomal RNA
Rfam family: Bacterial small subunit ribosomal RNA
Source: RNAcentral
GUAGGUGGCAAGCGUUGUCCGGAAUUAUUGGGCGUAAAGCGCGCGCAGGCGGUUCUUUAAGUCUGAUGUGAAAGCCCACGGCUCAACCGUGGAGGGUCAUUGGAAACUGGAGAACUUGAGUACAGAAGAGGAAAGCGGAAUUCCACGUGUAGCGGUGAAAUGCGUAGAGAUGUGGAGGAACACCAGUGGCGAAGGCGGCUUUCUGGUCUGUAACUGACGCUGAGGCGCGGAAGCGUGGGGAGCAAACAGGGAUUAGAUACCCUGGUAGUCCACGCCGUAAACGAUGAGUGCUAAGUGUUAGGGGGUUUCCCGCCCCCUUAGUGCUGCAGCUAACGCAUUAAGCACUCCGCCUGGGGAGUACGGCCGCAAGGCUG